RNAcentral lists this ribosomal RNA (253 nucleotides) under uncultured bacterium. RNAcentral's name for it is "partial 16S ribosomal RNA". It matches the Rfam family "Bacterial small subunit ribosomal RNA", at positions 524 to 776 of the family's 1533-position model. The record is from RNAcentral.
UACGUAGGUGGCAAGCGUUGUCCGGAUUUAUUGGGUUUAAAGGGUGCGUAGGCGGCUAAUUAAGUCAGCGGUGAAAUUCCACAGCUCAACUGUGGAACUGCCAUUGAUACUGGUUGGCUUGAGUACAGAUGAGGUAGGCGGAAUUGACAGUGUAGCGGUGAAAUGCUUAGAUAUUGUCAAGAACACCAAUUGCGAAGGCAGCUCGCUGGGACGUUACUGACGCUGAGACGCGAAAGCGUGGGGAGCAAACAGG